RNAcentral lists this ribosomal RNA (247 nucleotides) under uncultured bacterium. RNAcentral describes it as "partial 16S ribosomal RNA". It matches the Rfam family "Bacterial small subunit ribosomal RNA", at positions 85 to 334 of the family's 1533-position model. The record is from RNAcentral.
AAGAUGGCGACCGGCGCACGGGUGAGUAACACGUAUCCAACCUGCCGAUAACUCGGGGAUAGCCUUUCGAAAGAAAGAUUAAUACCCGAUGGCAUAGUUCUUCCGCAUGGUAGAACUAUUAAAGAAUUUCGGUCAUCGAUGGGGAUGCGUUCCAUUAGGUUGUUGGCGGGUAACGGCCCACCAAGCCUUCGAUGGAUAGGGGUUCUGAGAGGAAGGUCCCCCACAUUGGAACUGAGACACGGUCCAA